RNAcentral lists this long non-coding RNA (2232 nucleotides) under Brassica napus (rape). Its description in RNAcentral is "long non-coding RNA (BNAP_LNC026245)". Lineage: Eukaryota; Viridiplantae; Streptophyta; Magnoliopsida; Brassicales; Brassicaceae. The record is from RNAcentral.
CCAGUUUAUGUAUCCAUAUCAAGCUUCUUACAAAGUGAUUCAUCCUGGUUCGAUUGGAACAACGAAGAAGUUGUCUUAUUCCCAAAUUGGAAAACUGGAAUCAACUGAUUUGAAAGUGGGAUAACUUCUUCUUCCCAGCUUCUAUGAGAUUUUUUUCAACUUCCUGGUCAUUCUCCACCACUUUAUGUAUCCAGAUCAAGCUUCUUAUAAAGUGAUUCAUCCUGGUUCGAUUGGAACGACGAAGAAGUUGUCAUAUUCCCUAACUGGGAAACUGGAAUCAACUGAUUUGAAAGUGGGAUAACUUCUUCUUCCCAGCUCCUAUGAGAUUUUUUUCAACUUCCUGGUCAUUCUCCACCACUUUAUGUAUCCAUAUCAAUCUUCUUACAAAGGGAUUCAUCCUAGUUCGAUUGGAACGACGAAGAAGUUGUCUUAUUCCCAAACUGGGAAACUAGAAUCAACUGAUUUGAAAGUGGGAUAACUUCUUCUUCCCAACUCCUAUGAGAUUUAUUUAACUUCCUGGUCAUUCUCCACCACUUUAUGUAACCAUAUCAGGCUUCUUACAAAGUGGUUCAUCCUAGUUCGAUUGGAACGAUGAAGAAGUUGUCUUAUUCCCAAACUGGGAAACUAGAAUCACCUGAUUUGUAAAAAGGGAUAACUUCUUCUUCCCUACUCCAAUGAGAUUUAUUCAACUUCCAGGUGAUUCUCCACCACUUUAUGUAUCCAAAUCAAGCUUCUUACAAAGUGAUUCAUCCUGGUUCGAUUUGAACAACGAAGAAGUUGUCUUAUUCUCAAACUGGGAAACUGGAAUCAACUGAUUUGAAAGUGGGAUAACUUCUUCUUCCCAGCUCCUAUGAGAUUUUUUUCAACUUUCUGGUCAUUCUCCACCACUUUAUGUAUCCAUAUCAAGCUUCUUACAAAGUGAUUCAUCCUGGUUCGAUUGGAACGACGAAGAAGUUGUCUUUUUCCCAAACUGGGAAACCGGAAUCAACUGAUUUGAAAGUGGGAUAACUCCUUUUUCCCAACUCCUAUGAGAUUUUUUUUCAACUUCCUGGUCAUUAUACACCACUUUAGGUAUCAAUAUCAAGCUUCUUACAAAGUGAUUCAUCCUAGUUCGAUUGGAACGACGAAGAAGUUGUCUUAUUCCCAAAUUGGGAAACUGGAAUCAACUAAUUUGAAUGUGGGAUAACUUCUUCUUCUCAGCUCCUAUGAAAUAUUUUUCAACUUCCUGGUCAUUCUGCACCACUUUAGGUAUCCAUAUCAAGCUUCUUACAAAGAGAUUCAUCCUAGUUCGAUUGGAACGAUGAAGAAGUUGUCUUACUCCCAAACUGGGAAAGUAGAAUCACCUGAUUUGUAAAAAGGGAUANNNNNNNNNNNNNNNNNNNNNNNNNNNNNNNNNNNNNNNNNNNNNNNNNNNNNNNNNNNNNNNNNNNNNNNNNNNNNNNNNNNNNNACUGAUUUGAAUGUGGGAUAACUUCUUCUUCUCAGCUCCUAUGAGAUUUUUUUCAACUUCCUGGUCAUUCUACACCAGUUUAUGUAUCCAUAUCAAGCUUCUAAAAAAGUGAUUCAUCCUGGUUCGAUUGGAACGACGAAGAAGUUGUCUUAUUCCCAAAUUGGAAAAGUGGAAUCAACUGAUUUGAAAGUGUGAUAACUUCUUCUUCCCAGCUCCUAUGAGAUUUUUUUCACCUUCCUGGUCAUUCUACACCAGUUUAUGUAUCCAUAUCAAGCUUCUAAAAAAGUGAUUCAUCCUGGUUCGAUUGGAACGACGAAGAAGUUGUCUUAUUCCUAACUAGGAAACUGGAAUCAACUAAUUUGAAUGUGGGAUAACUUCUUCUUCCCAGCUCCUAUGAGAUUUUUUUCAACUUCCUGGUCAUUCUCCUCCACUUUAUGUAUCCAUAUCAAGCUUCUUACAAAGUGAUUCAUCCUAGUUCGAUUGGAACGACGAAGAAGUUGUCUUAUUCCCAAACUGGGAAUUUGGAAUCAACUGAUUUGAAAGUGGGAUAACUUCUUCUUCCCAACUCCUAUGAGAUUUAUUCAACUUCCUGGUCAUUCUCCACCACUUUAUGUAUCCAUAUCAAGCUUCUUACAAAGUGAUUCAUCCUGGUUCGAUUGGAACGACGAAGAAGUUGUCUUAUUCCCAAGCUGGAAAACUGGAAUCAACUGAUUUGAAAGUGGAAUAACUUCUUCUUCCCUACUCCUAUGAGAUUUAUUCAACUUCCUGGUCAUUCUCCACCAC